RNAcentral lists this long non-coding RNA (148 nucleotides) under Capra hircus (goat). RNAcentral describes it as "lncRNA (ENSCHIG00010014222.1)". The record is from RNAcentral. Lineage: Eukaryota; Metazoa; Chordata; Mammalia; Artiodactyla; Bovidae.
GUGGGCUGUGUCCUUGGCAGACAGGCAUGGGGAGGGGGGCACCCAGGGAUGCCCCAGCAGCAGGACCACGCUCCAGCCACUUGCAGGCCAGGUGAGUGAGAAGAUGUAGAGGAACCACAGGCAGGCGAUCGGCCCAGACGCGCGGCUG